AGAGCUGAGAGUAUGUUGCCUGACACAAACCAAGCAUCAGUCUGGUCAUUUCUAUCACCAGGAACACGCUCUGUCAUUUUUGCUGGGGUCACCAAGGUUCAUGGUAAAAGCCUCUCUGGAAGCCAGGAUGGCUGGAGGAUGCCAUAGGACAUGUGGCUCUGAAGAGACCAGGUCAAGUCAUGUGGAAGUUUGGAGAAGUUCGGGUGACAAGUAAAAUUUGAAUCAUAGCCAUGUGGACUGAUGUCAGAGGGUUUUGCCUCCUACAAGUUGCUUUCCACUUGUUUUGGUUUAACGUGUCCAUGGAUAGCUAUGAUAUCCACUGUCCUGGAACAGGGAAACAGAUUCACAGAAAACCUCAUAUUAUUCCUCAAGAACUUCCUCUGUAAGACAGCUUCUCGGCACAGCUGAUGGGGUGAGUACCAGGCAGCACUCCCUGCUCACCCCACAUAAACUUAUUUUCCCUUCACCUUGUUGUG
Long non-coding RNA from Myiozetetes cayanensis, 476 nucleotides. RefSeq lists it as uncharacterized. NCBI's taxonomy places the organism in Eukaryota, Metazoa, Chordata, Aves, Passeriformes, Tyrannidae. The record is from RefSeq and is a predicted model, not a curated record. The transcript has 5 exons.